CAGACCAAACACACAAAACAUGGAGUUCAAUUAAAUUCCACAAAAUUGUGGAAUGGAAUGGAACCAAACAAGCUUUAAAACUUGAAACUCGUGGCAAACCAGUACUCCCUGCUUCCAAUUUCAAUGCUUUUUAAGGUUUUUGCAAAAGGAUUAAGAAAAUGAUUAGAUAUCCUCAUUUUAUAAAAAAAAAAUAUUAAUAAUUUACCAAAAUAUGCUAAUAUUUAAUUAAAAUGAAAAAAAAGCGACAAGGAAGAGAUAAAUGCAUUGAGGAUAACAACAGACAAUGAUAAAGUUUAAAAAAAUAAUUAAUGCAUCAUUAAUUUUCUAAAACGGCAAAUAAAGUUGGAUACACAAAAAUUUUAAAACAUCAGUUGGAAUGGGGUGGAGGGAAUACAAGUAUCACAUGUUAUUUUUAUUAUCAGUCAGAAACUUUUAUCUGCUGGAAAAUUUUUUUUACCUUGUAACAAUAAAAGAAUAGAAUAAUAGCCAAAAAAAACAUGAUGUACAACAUUUAGGUGACUACCCAUGUUUGUCAUAAAAAAAUUGAUUACUAAACUUUUUAUCUGCAAAUGUAUGUUAUACAAAAUACUCACUUAGCAAUAAUUUCAAACCUAAAAUUUUAUUUUUUUUUUUAAAAAUAAUAAUGUACUGUUUAUAAAAAAAAUACCACAACAAAUUAUUAUUUUGCACUCACAAAAAGGAUCUCUUAUUAGUAAUGAAUUUCACAUUAUUUUCUCUUUAAUAUAUGCUUAAAACCAAUUCCAGUCUUUUUUUUUUUUCAUUAAAUGAUAAAUAAUCACAGCAAAACUUAUUGAAGAUUUGAAUUUGGCUGUAAGCAACAAGUCAAUUUUUUAUGGACAAUCUUAAAUUUUCUAUAUAUGCAUAUAGUUUUUUUUUUUUUUUUGUUAUACCUUGAUGACAAUGUAAAUUAUAUUUCAAAUAGAUUUUCAAACUUUUUCACCCUUGCAACUUAUAUUUCUAUGUCAUAUAAACUUUUAUUUUGUAUUAGUUCUUUAAGAAAAAUGUACAAUUAUUCUCUUGACAAUUGAAGUAAUCAUUUCUAUAUGUGUGUAUACACAAGUAUGAUACAAAUUAAAAAUUACAAUUGUUAUGUCAACUUUAGUUAACGGGGCCUAUAUUCUACCCAAUAAUACAACAACAUUAAGAUUAGAAAUUAAUAUGACCAAACCAAAUUCAUUUAUAAUUGAUAAUACAAUUCCAUUCAAUAACACAAAUAUUAUUGUAAUUACUGAUUUUGACAGCCAAUUCAAAUUCACAUACCAGAUAGUUUGGUAAUACAACAUUUUGAUGUCCUUUUUCUAUCAAAUGUUUCACAAAAUUCAUAUGUGUCUGACUAAAAGGUACCCAUCUAAAAGGGCUACAUAGUGUCCUUUAUUCAGGUUUAUAUAUUGCAAAAUCAUGAUUAUCACACAUCCCGACAACGACAAAGUAGUAGUAAAUUAUCACAGAGCUGGUAAAGGACCAAAGAUGAUGUUGAUUCUCAGAGAUACUGUAUUAUGAACCUAAAAUUGUAAGGAAGUCAUCUAAGCACUGGAGUAGAACACACAAGUAGCUUCAGAACAUUCAUGAUCAUUUUUAAGGCCCCAAUAAUUUAUCAUUGAAAACAUUUUCUCUAUCUAAUAACCAACCAUUUUUACUGAAAAAAAAAAUACAUUGCAUGAUGAUGCAUAUUUCAUCAUAUAAUACAGAGGAGACAGCCUAGUUGGACUAAAUAUCUUUUUUUGCUGACCAAGACAAUCUUUGUUCGACACCAGCCUGACCAAAUCUGUAGGGGUAUCUAAUAAAUCCCAAAAACUAGGCUCCACAAUGCCAUAAUUCCCAUCCUCCCUAUACACAAUACUUAAAACACACUCUAGUGCUUAAUAGUUAAAGCUUUAUCUAGAGAACUAAGUUUUUCAAUUUAUAAGUAUCCAACUGAAAAAAUAAAAAAAAUAAAAAAUUGCAGCCAUAUAAAACCUAAAAAAUUUGAAGGCAUAUAUGCAAGUUAAUUGUUCAUGCUUAACUCCACAAUUUUGUAGCACUAUUAAAUUUCCAUAAAUAUGUUAAGGUUAGCCCUUUCCUUCAGGAAUUCCCUUAGACUAGUACACUCACUUCCAGUUUGGCAAAUUAUUUGAAUUUCUCAAGUCAUAAAAAAGGUAAAACAAUGCAAAAGUUAAUCUGAAUGAUAAAAAUCAUCCUAAGAAGUCUGAUUGCUUAUUAAGAAGAGAUAAGGAAAAGAGAAGCUGAAGUCUGUCAAGCAAAUGAUAAGUAAUAUACAAAUUGGCACCCCAAAUUCAAGUCAUAGCAAAAGAAAGGGGUACUUUUCUAAAGGAGAGUUUUAGCCCCUGUUUAGUUUCAAAAAAUGUUUUUCUAGUUUUCUUUUUCCAGUUUUCUGCUCCUUUUCCUAUUUUUCCAAUUGGAAAACUGGAAAAUAAGAAAACAUGUUCACUUUUUCGCUUCUCCAUUUUCCAUCUUUCCUUUACAAGACUAUUUUUCACAUUUUUUAACUAAAUUGGUUUUAUUGGAUUAAUAAAAGUCAUUGUUGAAUAUGAUAACUAUAAAAAUAGUUUCACAAGUUAAUUAAUUGAAUAUAUUUUUUUUAAUUUAAAAUAUAUUUUAAAUCUAAGAGUUAUCAUGAGAAAUAUUACACUAUUUUAGUCUAAUAUUUCAAAAUUGAAUUAAAUCUAUAAAUUAAG
Molecule: unclassified non-coding RNA, 2696 nt
Filed under: Hevea brasiliensis (rubber tree)
Lineage: Eukaryota; Viridiplantae; Streptophyta; Magnoliopsida; Malpighiales; Euphorbiaceae
Source: RNAcentral